This 300-nucleotide ribosomal RNA is filed under the name Artemisia vulgaris (common mugwort). RNAcentral's name for it is "eukaryotic LSU rRNA". Lineage: Eukaryota; Viridiplantae; Streptophyta; Magnoliopsida; Asterales; Asteraceae. The record is from RNAcentral.
UGGCUGAGGGCACGUCUGCCUGGGCGUCACGCAUCGCGUCGCCCCCCACAAUUCUCYGCAAAGAGAACUUGUGUUUUGGGGGCGGAUAGUGGUCUCCCGUGCUCAUGGCGUGGUUGGCCGAAAUAGGAGUCCCUUCGAUGGACGCACGAACUAGUGGUGGUCGUAAAAACCCUCGUCUUUUGUUUYGUGCCGUUAGUCGCAAGGGAAACUCUUUGAAAACCCAAACGYGUCGUCUCUAGAYGACGCUUCGACCGCGACCCCAGGUCAGGCGGGACUACCCGCUGAGUUUAAGCAUAUCAA